GGGCGCAGCUGAUCCAGCCAUGCCGCGUGAGUGAGAAGGCCUUCGGGUUGUAAAGCUCUUUUGUUAGGGAGAAAGGGUGGGGGCUUGUACCGUUGGCCCCUGACGGUUCCUUGACAAAAGCGCGGCUAACUACAUGCCCGCAGCCGCGGUAAUACGUAGGGUGCAAGCGUUAAUCGGAAUUACUGGGCGUAAAGCGUGCGCAGG
Molecule: ribosomal RNA, 204 nt
Filed under: uncultured type II methanotroph
Lineage: Bacteria; Pseudomonadati; Pseudomonadota; Alphaproteobacteria; Hyphomicrobiales; Methylocystaceae
Description: partial 16S ribosomal RNA
Rfam family: Bacterial small subunit ribosomal RNA
Source: RNAcentral